Long non-coding RNA from Dermacentor silvarum, 1017 nucleotides. RefSeq lists it as uncharacterized. Lineage: Eukaryota; Metazoa; Arthropoda; Arachnida; Ixodida; Ixodidae. The transcript is spliced from 3 exons. The record is from RefSeq and is a predicted model, not a curated record.
UCUUUGGAGCAUUCCAGAACUUUGUGCGUGCGGCGGUAUGUGUGCUGGUUGCGUGAUGAGUUUGCUGCGUUUUCUGUGCCCUUUGCCUCGCUGUGACAUCUUUUGUAUAUUUCAACCUGUUGCUCGCUCUUUAUGGGCUACACGUUGCCUCGAAGAUCACCAUGAUCGCCUCCGACUCAGCCAAAUCGAAGAAUCAAAAUGAGCCUGGAGACGCCACAGCCGGAAUGCGAAAGGUUGGAGAAGUGCUCAUUCAGAUGAUCCUGGCACAGAUUGCCAUGGUGGACCAGGCAAGUUUGCAGCGGCCUUGAUUCACAAUGUGUUCACAGAGAAGAACCUCAUGGGCCACUCACUUCUCGAAAACACCACCACCAAUAGGCAAAAAGAGGCUCUUGGCCUUAUUAGGGUCAACACUGUUAUAGGCAAGUACCGUACAUCCUUUUUCCCAUUGCAUUUUUGCAUUCACAUUUUGUACUUGGAAUUACUAGCUUGCUAUUAGCACAACAAAUGAUUUUCAAGUAGCCUGUGUCUGCAACUACGUGCUACAAUAGCCUACUAUUUGGGAUGAAUGUUCAUUUGAUCUCAAGUCUCUAAUGCCUCCCUACUAAAGUGCUAAAUUUUAAAAGCAGCCUUAACUGCCAGAAGUGAUUGGUGGCUACAACUGACAAAGUUAGGUGUAUUUGCACAUUAGUUGCUCUACUUGACUGUCCAUGCAAUGAACAGUUGCAAUGAAGCAACUACCAAUCUGUGAAGCAUGCUACCAAUCUGGUGGUAUAGCGGGUGUGCUUAAGUAGCCUGAAAGUGUUGUUAUAAUAUAGGAAUUGUGGAGAAGCUAUGCUCAAGUGCAGUUACUGCUCAACUCGAGGGACAGCACUUCCACCAAAUUUCAGCAAUCAAAAUGGCCCUCCAGAUUCUCUAACACAAAACAUAGUGGUUUCACCUACUUCGACAGACCACAUUGAAUUAAAGUUGCUCCAGUCUUGAAGGAGGUCCAUGUGGUGGCAGACAGUAGCCUUUUAG